AGUACAUGAAAGAAAACAUCAAUCUUAUUAUUUACUAAAGCAUCUCAAAUUUAUUUUACAAACCACUGAAGAGAUUCAGCUCUUGAAACCCAAACAUCACAAACAAAGCCAAAACACACAAAUAAUUAAACAAACCCAUACAAAUGAAAGGGAAAGUUUUUCAAAAAAGAUGGUGGUGAUGGUCCUUGCCCUCAGCCUCUCUCUCUUCUUUCUUUGCUUCCUUCUUCUCGUGAUGCUCAUGGAGCACAAAUCCCCCAGCCCCGACAGCCACGGCAGCCGCGACUUCCUCCUUUAACUUGUGUUCAUGGCUGUGCUGGCUGUCUUUUUUCGCCUCGUGCUUCUCAUGCAGAGCAUAGGCACCAGCUGCGGUGGCACCGAGCUCGCCGAGGUGUUCAAGGUGCUUGUGGUGCUUCUUCUCUUUCUCGUAGUCGACGACGCCGGAGUUUUCUUCUUCUUCCUUGUGGUGGUGGAAAAGGUGGUGGUGGUGGUGGUGGCCUUGCUCUUCUUCUGCCAUGGCUUUGAGGGCUUUAGUUGGUUUGAGAUGGGGUUCCAUUGAUUUUGCAGAAUGUCCA
This 572-nucleotide unclassified non-coding RNA is filed under the name Hevea brasiliensis (rubber tree). Lineage: Eukaryota; Viridiplantae; Streptophyta; Magnoliopsida; Malpighiales; Euphorbiaceae. The record is from RNAcentral.